GACGAACGCUGGCGGCGUGCAUAACACAUGCAAGUCAAGGGGGUCAGUAGCAAUACUGGCAACCGGCGAACGGGUGCGUAACACGUAAGCGACCUACCUCGAUGUGGGGCAUAGCCGGCCUAACGGCCGGGUAAUUCCGCAUGUGAUUCUGGAGAGGCAUCUCCCCGGAAUGAAACCAGUAAUGGGCAUUGAGAGGGGCUUGCGGCCUAUCAGCUUGUUGGGAGGUAACGGCUCACCAAGGCUACGACGGGUAGCUGGUCUGAGAGGAUGGCCAGCCACAUUGGGACUGAGAAACGGCCCAGACUCCUACGGGAGGCAGCAGUGGGGUAAUCUUGCGCAAUGGUCUAACGACUGACGCAGCGACGCCGCGUGA
RNAcentral lists this ribosomal RNA (373 nucleotides) under uncultured bacterium. RNAcentral's name for it is "bacterial SSU rRNA". It matches the Rfam family "Bacterial small subunit ribosomal RNA", at positions 28 to 404 of the family's 1533-position model. The record is from RNAcentral.